CCUACGGGGGGCAGCAGUGGGGAAUAUUGGGCAAUGGGCGCAAGCCUGACCCAGCAACGCCGCGUGAAGGAAGACGGCUCUCGGGUUGUAAACUUCUUUUGACCGGGAAGCGAAGAAGACGGUACCUGUCGAAUAAGCCAUGGCUAACUACGUGCCAGCAGCCGCGGCAAUACGAAGGUGGCAAGUGUUGUCCGGAUUUACUGGGUGAAAAGGGCGUGUAGCCGGGAAGGCAAGUCAGAGGUGAAAUUUGGAGGCUCAACCUCCAAAUGGCAUUUGAAACUGUUUUUCUUGAGUACGGGAGAGGCAGGCGGAAUGCGUGGUGUAGCGGUGAAAUGCGUAGAUAUAAGGAGGAACACCGAUGGCGAAGGCAGUCUGCUGGACAGCAACUGACGGUGAGGCGCGAAAGCGUGGGGAGCGAACAGGAUUAGAUACCCGGGUAGUC
RNAcentral lists this ribosomal RNA (442 nucleotides) under uncultured bacterium. RNAcentral's name for it is "partial 16S ribosomal RNA". It matches the Rfam family "Bacterial small subunit ribosomal RNA", at positions 338 to 795 of the family's 1533-position model. The record is from RNAcentral.